This 429-nucleotide ribosomal RNA is filed under the name Bacillota bacterium. Its description in RNAcentral is "Firmicutes bacterium partial 16S ribosomal RNA". It matches the Rfam family "Bacterial small subunit ribosomal RNA", at positions 355 to 776 of the family's 1533-position model. Lineage: Bacteria; Bacillati; Bacillota. The record is from RNAcentral.
UAGGGAAUCUUCCACAAUGGACGCAAGUCUGAUGGAGCAACGCCGCGUGAGUGAAGAAGGUUUUCGGAUCGUAAAGCUCUGUUGUUGGUGAAGAAGGAUAGAGGUAGUAACUGGCCUUUAUUUGACUGUAAUCAACCAGAAAGUCACGGCUAACUACGUGCCAGCAGCCGCGGUAAUACGUAGGUGGCAAGCGUUGUCCGGAUUUAUUGGGCGUAAAGCGAGCGCAGGCGGAAGAAUAAGUCUGAUGUGAAAGCCCUCGGCUUAACCGAGGAACUGCAUCGGAAACUGUUUUUCUUGAGUGCAGAAGAGGAGAGUGGAAUUCCAUGUGUAGCGGUGGAAUGCGUAGAUAUAUGGAAGAACACCAGUGGCGAAGGCGACUCUCUGGUCUGCAACUGACGCUGAGGCUCGAAAGCAUGGGUAGCGAACAGG